Molecule: non-coding RNA, 2216 nt
Organism: Dermacentor andersoni
Lineage: Eukaryota; Metazoa; Arthropoda; Arachnida; Ixodida; Ixodidae
Source: RefSeq, a predicted model, not a curated record
UGCCCGGGGCACAGCAGACGAAAGGUGCCCGAAAUGUCUACGUUCACCCAUGACGUCACGUCCGCUAUAACCCAUGAUGUCACAUCCGCUCAUUUCCAUGGCGGCCGUCCUACGGAGCCGGCUGCGCUGCGAAACGGUCCGUAUUCCGUGCCCACUUAGAGCGGAACUCACUCGCAUGCGGGGAACUGCAUAACUAGCCACGGGAUUACCGUGCCUCUUGGGAAGCUGCUUUGCAUCAAAGGCCAGGUACCCUUGCUAUGAUUCACCGCAACAUAUUUUGUAUGUCUAACCGCAUAACAUAUUUGUAUUGCAGUGAAGCUAACCUUACGGAACCGAAUUUCGCAACGCUUUUUAGACUCCUGCAUCUCUACCAGCCACUACCAAACGCUUGUCGGUACGUCUCUUGGCAAAGGUCCAGGUAAAUCUCCCCUGUUGGGAGUUGGGGGGACUCACGUAUAUGAAAACUGCCAAGGAAAGCAGUUGCCCUGAUGAAGGCACGCUCCCCUGUCGAAACAUUUGCACCAGCCUGUUCGACCACCGUUAUCACCGCAACAUAUUUGUGUGUUGCGGUGAAGCAUGCCGAUAUUGGGAAAGAUUUACGUGAAUCUGGAAUGUAUGGUUUCUGUCAGCGACUAACCUAAUGUUCUACUCUCAUCAAAGCAGAUUUUCGUGGCAGGAUGCAUGAUGUCUUGAGAACUUUUGUUGGCUAAAGCCAUACAUGCAAGGUUAGCUCUUGUCACAAUAAUACGCUUUACCGCAAUACACAAGAGGCCCUGCUGCAGGACACGCCCGCCGUAGUUAGCCAAAACCUUAUGUGAUGGUUCACUGCAAAACACCUCCUGUAUUGCGGUGAAUCGUAAUAAAGCGCAUUUGUCAGUUUAGAAUGUAAAGACCCUUGCCCUUCGCUUUUGUAAUAAUAUGACUCAGUUUAAUGAGAACAUGUAUUCACUGCUAAAAACAUCCACAUUGAAAUGGAGAUAUGAACACUGAUGGCAGCCUGUGUGAUGUUUUAUCCCUUUACUUUUUUGUGUACCUGUCACGCUGCCAUUAUUAAAUUUUCCUGUACUUUGUUAGGUGCUGACGUACAUAACAUUACAUCACAAAGAGCCACUGUGUAAUUAGUGUUCAAGGACCAGCGUGAUGGCUUUACUCAAGAAAGAUUUGGGUUAUGUUGUUGUGAAGGUUUUUUUUAGAGGUAGCUUUCUGAGAAGAAAUCAGAUGUCAGGAAAUAGAUCUCAGUGGCACAGUAAUCUUGGCUGCCUUUUGCUCAAACGUGCCCUAGACAUAACUGAGUGAUUUGCACUUGCAACUGGACAGCAGCCGUAGCUUGGGAGACCCAGUGAUAUGGCAUAUGUUAUCAAACUAGGUGACACAUAGCAUUACCAGUCCGAAUAGAGACCUGUUUAAAUGUUUGUCACCUUUAAGACCUAGAUUUUCGACCAUGAAUUCAGAAAAAUUUGUAGCACAUUUAGAACCUAGAUUUUAAAUGCUGUAUAAGUUGGCUUGUUCACUGCAGCUGUGCUCGGCUUCUGUCCAAACGGGAGUGCACUUCUGCACAGCUUAUUAGGGAAUAUUCUUAUUUACAUACCAUCUUUUUAUUUAUCUCGCCUACAAUCACAAUCAAAUGUUUAUGGCACAUGAAUGUGCUGUGCAUGAAUCUAACUUACAAUGCCAUGUUCAACAGCACAGUGCAUGUAGCUUGUGUUGGUUCAUUCAAGCUAAGCAUUGCUACAGCCUUUAACUGUAGGUAUCAUGGUAUGAGAGCAGAGAAAUGGAUAUGCAAAGACAGUUGGGCACAUUGAGACAAUAUCUUUGUUGUGUGUGGAAAGGUGACAGAUAUACCAUAUGGGGAGAACGCAUGCACUUUCAUAUUUUCUCGCGCACAAAAAAAAGCCGGAGGAAUAAGGUUUCUUCACUGUGCCAUAGAAACUAUAUGUUUGCUCUCAAAGGUAAUUCUGAUUCAUUGGAUAUGUUCCUGUGCUGUGUUUAUUUUCUGGAGUGUGCUUUAGUUUUUGCACGUUAAUGUUUCAAACUCGUUUUUAUUUUCACAGACUGAACAUCCCACGUCUUGGUUUGACUUCCUGGUACAGGAUACUUGCACUUAGCAUGGAGUGAUGAAGCAGAGCAGUGUACUUUUAUUAAAGUGCAGAUUUUAGCAGUAUAACAGCAGUUCACUAAAAAACAUAUGUGCUGAAAAUAAAGUGUUCUUACCCACA